Molecule: non-coding RNA, 73 nt
Organism: Rattus norvegicus (Norway rat)
Lineage: Eukaryota; Metazoa; Chordata; Mammalia; Rodentia; Muridae
Source: Rfam
GUAGAGAUGGCUCAGCGGUUGAGAGCGCUGACUGCUCUUCCAGAGGCCCUGAGUUCAAGUCCCGGCAACUACA